AUACGUAGGGGGCGAGCGUUGUCCGGAAUGAUUGGGCGUAAAGGGCGCGUAGGCGGCCCGGUAAGUCUGGAGUGAAAGCCCUGUUUUUAAGAUGGGAAUUGCUUUGGAUACUGUCGGGCUUGAGUGCAGGAGAGGUAAGUGGAAUUCCCAGUGUAGCGGUGAAAUGCGUAGAGAUUGGGAGGGACACCAGUGGCGAAGGCGACUUGCAGGACUGUAACUGACACUCAUGCGCUACAGUCUGUAGACCAAACAGGUAGUGACAACCUGGUAGUCCAGUCUGUACACUGUGAUUUCUAGGUGUAGGGGGUAUGGAACCCAUCUGUGCCGCAGUCAACACAAUAAGCAAUAUGGCUGGGGAGUUCGGUCGUAAGGUUGAAGCUCAAAUGAAUUGGCGGGG
Molecule: ribosomal RNA, 397 nt
Filed under: uncultured bacterium
Lineage: Bacteria
Description: partial 16S ribosomal RNA
Rfam family: Bacterial small subunit ribosomal RNA
Source: RNAcentral